This 459-nucleotide ribosomal RNA is filed under the name uncultured bacterium. RNAcentral describes it as "partial 16S ribosomal RNA". It matches the Rfam family "Bacterial small subunit ribosomal RNA", at positions 338 to 795 of the family's 1533-position model. The record is from RNAcentral.
CCUACGGGAGGCAGCAGUGAGGAAUAUUGGUCAAUGGCCGGAAGGCUGAACCAGCCAAGCCACGUGAAGGACGAAGGUGCCAAGCAUUGUAAACUUCUUUUGUCAAGGGACAAAAUCAGGCUCGAGAGCCUGACCGAGGGUACUUGAAGAAAAAGCAUCGGCUAACUCCGUGCCAGCAGCCGCGGUAAUACGGAGGAUGCGAGCGUUAUCGGGAUUUAUUGGGGUUAAAGGGUGCGUAGGCGGACUGUUAAGUCAGCGGGAAAAGCCCGGGGCGCAACCCCGGCGAGCCGUUGAAACUGGCGGUCUUGAGAUGUCGAGAGGUAUGCGGAAUGCGCAGUGUAGCGGUGAAAUGCGUAGAUAUUGCGCAGAACUCCGAUUGCGAAGGCAGCAUACCGGCGGCGAACUGACGCUGAGGCACGAAAGCGUGGGUAGCGAACAGGAUUAGAUACCCGAGUAGUC